Prunus persica (peach) is the source of this 454-nucleotide long non-coding RNA. RefSeq lists it as uncharacterized. The transcript has 2 exons. The record is from RefSeq and is a predicted model, not a curated record. Lineage: Eukaryota; Viridiplantae; Streptophyta; Magnoliopsida; Rosales; Rosaceae.
UGCAAAAUAUAAUAUAAAUACCCAUCUCAUCUUUCUAUGUCUAUAUCUUUGUCCUGCGAGUCUGUUUCCACUAAAACCAAAGUAAAAGCCUCAAAUAUCAUUCGUGGAAGUAGAAGCAGAAGCACGCGUUGUGAUUGUAGGAGCUGGAAUUGCUGGCCUUGCAACAUCCUUAGGACUUCAUAGGCUUGGUAUCCGAAGCUUAGUGUUGGAAUCGUCGGAUAGUUUGAAGACAACAGGGUUUGCAUUCUGAACAUGGACAAAUGCAUGGAAGGCAUUAGAUGCCCAUGGUAUUGGCGAUACUCUUCGCCGACAACAUGAGACACUUCAUGGGUACAUUAUGUCACCAUUUUGGACAAUUUGACAUGUACGUUAAAUUAUGUUUUGAAUGUUUGAACACUUUGACAACCCAGGAAAAAAAUAAACUGAGUUAGAUAUACCCCUUCUGCUUGAUAAA